Molecule: ribosomal RNA, 497 nt
Filed under: uncultured bacterium
Lineage: Bacteria
Description: partial 16S ribosomal RNA
Rfam family: Bacterial small subunit ribosomal RNA
Source: RNAcentral
GAUGAACGCUGGCGGCGUGCCUAAUACAUGCAAAUCGAGCGAACGGACGAGAAGCUUGCUUCUCUGAUGUUAGCGGCGGACGGGUGAGUAACACGUGGAUAACCUACCUAUAAGACUGGGAUAACUUCGGGAAACCGGAGCUAAUACCGGAUGAUAUUUUGAACCGCAUGGUUCAAAAGUGAAAGACGGUCUUGCUGUCACUUAUAGAUGGAUCCGCGCUGCAUUAGCUAGUUGGUAAGGUAACGGCUUACCAAGGCAACGAUGCAUAGCCGACCUGAGAGGGUGAUCGGCCACACUGGAACUGAGACACGGUCCAGACUCCUACGGGAGGCAGCAGUAGGGAAUCUUCCGCAAAGGGCGAAAGCCUGACGGAGCAACGCCGCGUGAGUGAUGAAGGCCUUCGGAUCGUAAAACUCUGUUAUUAGGGAAGAACAUAUGUGUAAGUAACUGUGCACAUCUUGACGGUACCUAAUCAGAAAGCCACGGCUAACUACGUG